GUCAGAUUGGCCGAGUGGUCUAAGGCGCCAGACUUAAGUUCUGGUCCUCUAGUGAGGGCGUGGGUUCGAACCCCACAUCUGACA
Molecule: transfer RNA, 84 nt
Filed under: Cordylochernes scorpioides
Lineage: Eukaryota; Metazoa; Arthropoda; Arachnida; Pseudoscorpiones; Chernetidae
Description: tRNA-Leu
Rfam family: tRNA
About the family: Transfer RNA (tRNA) molecules are approximately 80 nucleotides in length. Their secondary structure includes four short double-helical elements and three loops (D, anti-codon, and T loops).
Source: RNAcentral